RNAcentral lists this long non-coding RNA (311 nucleotides) under Hordeum vulgare. RNAcentral's name for it is "long non-coding RNA (HVUL_LNC009944)". Lineage: Eukaryota; Viridiplantae; Streptophyta; Magnoliopsida; Poales; Poaceae. The record is from RNAcentral.
AAGAAGAAGAAGAAGAACAAGAAGAAGAAGAAGAAGAAGAAGAAGAAGAAGAGGAUGUGAAGGAAAGAAGAAGAAGAAGAAGAAGUAGAAGAGGAGAAGGAAAGAAGAAGAAGAAGAAGAAGAAGAAGAUGUAGAAGAAGAGGAUGAGAAGGAAGGAAGAAGAAGAAGAAGAAGAAGAAGAAGGAAAAGAAGAGGAGAUUUCAUUAGCAAUAUGAUUUUUUUUUCAUAGUUUGAACUAUCAAUGCUUUAUGUGAUGUGAUGUACUAAUUUUUUUCACUUGGUACAAUUUACAGGCUUUGUGCUAUUUCAAC